GGAGUCUGGACCGUGUCUCAGUUCCAAUGUGGCCGAUCACCCUCUCAGGUCGGCUACCGAUCGUCGCUUUGGUGGGCCGUUACCUCACCAACUGGCUAAUCGGACGCGAGCCCAUCUUCAACCGGAUUGCUCCUUUGACCUCUGUGCCAUGUGACACCGUGGUCUUACGCGGUAUUAGCACAUCUUUCGAUGCGUUAUCCCCUCUUGUAGGACGCGUGGU
Molecule: ribosomal RNA, 220 nt
Filed under: uncultured Eubacteriales bacterium
Lineage: Bacteria; Bacillati; Bacillota; Clostridia; Eubacteriales
Description: uncultured Clostridiales bacterium partial 16S ribosomal RNA
Source: RNAcentral